Molecule: ribosomal RNA, 547 nt
Filed under: Colletotrichum gloeosporioides
Lineage: Eukaryota; Fungi; Ascomycota; Sordariomycetes; Glomerellales; Glomerellaceae
Description: eukaryotic LSU rRNA
Rfam family: 5.8S ribosomal RNA (bases 174-327)
Source: RNAcentral
AAAUCGGAAGUACGCUCUACACCCUUUGUGACAUACCUAUAACUGUUGCUUCGGCGGGCAGGGUCUCCGUGACCCUCCCGGCCUCCCGCCCCCGGGCGGGUCGGCGCCCGCCGGAGGAUAACCAAACUCUGAUUUAACGACGUUUCUUCUGAGUGGUACAAGCAAAUAAUCAAAACUUUUAACAACGGAUCUCUUGGUUCUGGCAUCGAUGAAGAACGCAGCGAAAUGCGAUAAGUAAUGUGAAUUGCAGAAUUCAGUGAAUCAUCGAAUCUUUGAACGCACAUUGCGCCCGCCAGCAUUCUGGCGGGCAUGCCUGUUCGAGCGUCAUUUCAACCCUCAAGCUCUGCUUGGUGUUGGGGCCCUACAGCUGAUGUAGGCCCUCAAAGGUAGUGGCGGACCCUCCCGGAGCCUCCUUUGCGUAGUAACUUUACGUCUCGCACUGGGAUCCGGAGGGACUCUUGCCGUAAAACCCCCAAUUUUCCAAAGGUUGACCUCGGAUCAGGUAGGAAUACCCGCUGAACUUAAGCAUAUCAAUAAGCGGAAGAAC